This 459-nucleotide ribosomal RNA is filed under the name uncultured bacterium. RNAcentral's name for it is "partial 16S ribosomal RNA". It matches the Rfam family "Bacterial small subunit ribosomal RNA", at positions 338 to 795 of the family's 1533-position model. The record is from RNAcentral.
CCUACGGGAUGCAGCAGUGAGGAAUAUUGGUCAAUGGCCGGAAGGCUGAACCAGCCAAGCCGCGUGAAGGACGAAGGUGCCAAGCAUUGUAAACUUCUUUUGUCAAGGUACAAAAUCAGGCUCGAGAGCCUGACCGAGGGGACUUGCAGAAAAAGCAUAGGCUAACUCCGUGCCAGCAGCCGCGGUAAUCCGGAGGAGGCGAGCGUUAUCCGGAUUUAUUGGGUUAAAGGGGGGCGUAGGAGGACUGUUAAGUCAGCGGUAAAAGCCCGGGGCUAAACCCCGGCGAGCCGUUGAAACUGGCUGUCUUGAGAUGUCGAGAGGUAUGCGGAAUGCGCAGUGUAGCGGUGAAAUGCUUAGAGAUCAUACAGAACACCGAUUGCGAAGGCAGCUUACCAAACUAUAUCUGACGUUGAGGCACGAAAGCGUGGGUAGCAAACAGGAUUAGAUACCCCUGUAGUC